Long non-coding RNA from Corythoichthys intestinalis (scribbled pipefish), 1913 nucleotides. RefSeq lists it as uncharacterized. The record is from RefSeq and is a predicted model, not a curated record. Lineage: Eukaryota; Metazoa; Chordata; Actinopteri; Syngnathiformes; Syngnathidae. The transcript is spliced from 4 exons.
AUGUUCCAAACAGUUCUAUCCAAUCAGUGUGGCUUUUCUCUGAGCUUUUAACAAGUCCUGGCAGGACCGCUAACAGAGGGCUUAGUCAGCAGGAAAUUACAAUUCAACACGGACAGCAACACACUGCCACUGCGCUGUGAUUUAAUACAACACAACAGCUGUAGAUGCCUGUGAGAUGGUAUGUCAGCCGGCAUCUUAACAGUGUUUGGGUCGUGCCACUCAUGUGACAUCUGCACCGCCUCUCUCUGACUCCCCUCACUGCUGUUUAUUAAGCAAAGCUGCUCUCCAGUCUUCCUUAUUUUGAAACACAUGAUACACUUACCCUGAAUGCAGUACCCUCCUCAAUGAUGGUUGGCAACUGAGACAGGCAGAUAUCCACGGCCAGAUCCCAUGCUUGCCUGUUGUAAGCCUGGGGACCGAAUGAGGGCAGGAAGGAGUCUUUAAUCCUCUCCUACACCCCAGCACUCCCUCAUGGUCAUCAUAACUAAUUCAUAUGGUUAUGCAACACAACUUGGACCACUACAGCGGCUUUUCUGUUCAGGCCGUCUCCCUCUCUUUUUCACGUUCCUGUGACUGCUGCAAACAGCGCGAAGCCACAAAGGAGAUUUUUCCUCAUAAUUAGUGACUGUUGGAGUCAAUUUAUUGAUGCUGACCACUGCGCUGUAUGAUGACACUCAACAACUGGGGGAGGUGUCAAGAAAAUCUCGAUUUGAAUGGCUUUUCCCCCCUCAGUAGUGCAAUAUACAGUCGUGGAGUUUAGUCCCAUUAUAACUGGUGCAUCAGUUUAAUGAGUCACAAUGCACAUACUGCAAUAUGCACAAUGUACUGUAACUUAACACACAUCAUGUUAAUUUAGAUCGUUGGGAACACAAUUCUACACAAAAAUGGAUAUGAUGACAAGAUAUUAAAAUGUAGAAGUUAAAAUGCAACAGAUUACAUCACCCAAGCAAAUUCUGGGUUUGCUUAAAUGCUGAGAGCUGAUAUACGAUGUGACAGCGCAGCUUGAUUGAACAGCCAACCCGACCGUUAUUUCUUCCAGUGCUGCAAUGAUUAAUUGAGUAACUCGAAUAAUUUGAUUAGAAAAAAGCUUCAAAUUAAAUUUUGCUGCUUCGGUGAUUCAUUUAAUUAGAGUUGGCGUUGUAAUGGUUUGUUUUGAAAGUGUUUGCAUUUAGUUUUAUUAAUUUGAGUGGUUACACUGCCCUGUAGUGGCAACAUCGAAUAUGAAACUUGUCUAACAUGGCGGAAUCCAGCUGCUCCAUGUUAAGACCAACAUAUGGUGUGUUUUUGUUUGAGCUCAUAUGUUUGUAUGUAUUCGUUAUUUAGUUUAAAAGUAUAUUUAGCAUUAUUUUUUUAGGGAAUAUGUGUUUGAACGAUUUGCUGAGAGCAUUGUAAAAAACAUUUUUUUUUAGAAAAUAGAAUUUAGUAGCAUUUAAGCUAGAAGACCUUUGCUAUGCAUGUUAGCCAGUUGUUCUUUUGUUGUACUUAGAGCCUCAUCUAUUAAUUUUUUUAUACAGUUUGAGCCUAAGCUCAGGUAUUUACAUUUAAAAAUGUAUUGCUCUUGUGAAAUGAAAGUGCGGUUCUACACACAGUGAUCCGUCGCUACUUCGCGCUUCAAACUUUCCUCUUUAGCACGGGACUUCUUUUUUCUUCUUUCUUUCAGAAAGAAAGCUGACCAAUACGCGGGGUCUGAAAGGCAAAUUGCUGUUGGAUUAUCUUUAAAUACCCACUACUUUUUGAGCAGAAUUCUAGCUUUGUAUAGGCUAAUGUUCCUUUUGUUGAAAGCACAAAAGUGUGUAAUAAACAACUAGCACAUUUAUAUUUUGCAUUUUUUUUCUUACUGUACCGAAAAUGAACUGAACCACGACCUCAAAACCGAGGUACGUACCGAUUUUUGUGUACCGUUACACCCCUAA